GCCUUCGUGGCUCAGCUGGUUAGAGCGCCGGUCUCAUAUAUCACUAUAAUAAUGUGACCAUUCGAUGAGAAUGGGCCAUCCGGAGAUCGCCAGUUCGAUCCUGGCCGAGGGCA
RNAcentral lists this transfer RNA (113 nucleotides) under Phakopsora pachyrhizi. RNAcentral's name for it is "tRNA-Met". It matches the Rfam family "tRNA". From Rfam's summary of the family: Transfer RNA (tRNA) molecules are approximately 80 nucleotides in length. Their secondary structure includes four short double-helical elements and three loops (D, anti-codon, and T loops). Lineage: Eukaryota; Fungi; Basidiomycota; Pucciniomycetes; Pucciniales; Phakopsoraceae. The record is from RNAcentral.